Molecule: ribosomal RNA, 460 nt
Filed under: uncultured bacterium
Lineage: Bacteria
Description: partial 16S ribosomal RNA
Rfam family: Bacterial small subunit ribosomal RNA
Source: RNAcentral
CCUACGGGUGGCAGCAGUGAGGAAUAUUGGUCAAUGGGCUUACGCCUGAACCAGCCAAGUCGCGUGAGGGAAGACUGCCCUAUGGGUUGUAAACCUCUUUUGUCAGGGAGCAAUUGGCGCUACGUGUAGCGUUAUCGAGAGUACCUGAAGAAAAAGCAGCGGCGAACUCCGUGCCAGCAGCCGCGGUAAUACGGAGGAUGCGAGCGUUAUCCGGAUUUAUGGGGUUUAAAGGGGGCGUAGGCGGAAUGCCAAGUCAGCGGUACAAUCGCGGGGCUCAACCUCGCUCCGCCGUUGAAACUGGCGGUCUUGAGUGUGCGAGAGGUAUGCGGAAUGCGUGGUGUAGCGGUGAAAUGCAUCGAUAUCACGCAGAACUCCGAUUGCGAAGGCAGCAUACCGGCGCCCAACUGACGCUGACGCACGAACGCGUGGGUAUCGAACAGGAUUAGAUACCCCAGUAGUC